GCGUCGCCCUGGGAGUGACAGCUCAGACAAAGGCCCCCUAAACACCAGCGACAAACAACAUGAGUGACAUCUUGUGGUCACACGAAGCAUGAUUGUCUUCCUGUUAACAAAGGUAAAAGCAGCACGACGUUGUUAUAUACCAGCACAAAAAGUCACAGAGGCAGCAGGUACUGUUUUGGGGGACUGAUGGUUGUGGGUACAAAGUACAGGACUUUGACACCAGAGACCCCAGUUUGCAGCGAUUCUUCAACAACAGUCAACAUUUAUUUUGUUUUGUUGUUCUUUUCUACCAUGAAGUGCUUCGUUCCCUAACCUUUACAGAGUAGUUUCAAUUGCCCCACCUGAACCGAACCUUAACCACUGAGGUGGCAGAUCAGAAAACACAUAUGUGGGUUGUUUUUUAAGGCGCUGACAAACAAAUCGCUUUGAGGAUUUGUUGGCCUGACGGCACGAACACGGCACACUGCCUUGUUCUGGUCACGGCGCCAUACAGAAUAAGCAAUCGAGGAGAAAGUUGGAGGCAACAGGAAGAUGGACUCGAUGGACCUUUAACAGAGCCGCUACGUCAAGAAACUUGACCAAGUCUCAAAGGCUGAAAAAGUUUCAAACGGCCCAGAAAUGGGGUGAAGACACCUGAUGUGGAGCUCGGGUCGGUGUCGGACCUGCCGCGACAGCCGGAGUGGCGCAGCUGGGGGUCUUACCUCGUUGAAUUCGGGGUUGAGGGUUUUUUUCAUCACAGCUGUUUUGUGCUUGGAUUUCUUCUGUAUGUCGGGCUUCAGGUAUCUGACAGGACCAGCAGAGAAGGAGGAAAAAGCACAUUAGGUUACACCAGAAACAAACUUAGCUGCUGAGCGGAGCGCGUCGGGAGCCGUUGAUGCCUCCGGUUCCGGAUUCUGGCUCCAGAUUCUCAGUCAGAAGAAUGAGCCGUUUCUCUCCGUUCGACAUCACUGCAAAGUCAAGACGUCACCUUCGUGCUUUCUCUGCAGGUUUCAAACUGAUUGGGGGAAAAACUUCGACAUCUGUAUGGACAGAUUUCCCUCCUGGGCUAAAAGACAAUAAUAAAGCCA
Xiphias gladius (swordfish) is the source of this 1067-nucleotide long non-coding RNA. RefSeq lists it as uncharacterized. The record is from RefSeq and is a predicted model, not a curated record. Lineage: Eukaryota; Metazoa; Chordata; Actinopteri; Istiophoriformes; Xiphiidae. The transcript is spliced from 3 exons.